AGUAAAAUGACUGAAAUAUAGGUGAUAAAUUGUAAAUUUAUUUAUGAAAGUUUUUUUUUCUUUUACUA
This 68-nucleotide transfer RNA is filed under the name Neostromboceros nipponicus. RNAcentral's name for it is "tRNA-Tyr". The record is from RNAcentral. Lineage: Eukaryota; Metazoa; Arthropoda; Insecta; Hymenoptera; Tenthredinidae.